UCCGGGGCCCCUCCGGGCACGUCCCUCCCCGCCCCCAGCCCACCCCCUGCCCAGCACGGGUGCCCUCUUCGCCCUCGGCUGUCCCGGCCUCGGAGCCCACUCCUGUCCGUGCGCAGCCCGCGGGCGCCGCCGAGGCCAGGACGCGAAAACCGGGCGACUUCACGCGGCACGCACUGCGCCGGCGCGGGCGCUGCUCCUCCCAGCAGCCCUUUCUGCACGGGGCACCCUGGCUUCCGCCCCUACUUUACGCGACGCCGGGGUGGGGGUGGGGGGUAAACGGAGGCACACCGAGGGUGAGGCCCUGGCUCUAAGUCGCACGGCCGGGAAACGCCAGGCGCGAGACCGGAACCCACGCGUCUGGUCCCGCGCGGUGAGGUGCGUGGCUCAAACGGCUGUCAUUUCUGGAUCCUUCCCGAACACCCUCUCCCCUUCGCGGCAGGACGGGGUCCGUGAGCUCGCGGACCAUCCGGGGCUCUGCUGCCACCUAGUGGCCGCCAGGGGCAGCGUCGCACCCAGCGCGCCCGGGGCCGUCACGAAAGGCUUUGCAAGUGAAUUACCCGGGGAGCAGCGGCGCAGCGGGGUAAGCUGCCAUCUGAAGCGCCGGCAUCCCAUGUGGACGCGGGUUCGAGUCCCGGCUGCUCCACUUCCAGUCCAGCUCCCCGCUGAUGGGAAAGCCACGAAAGAUGGCCCAAAUCCUAGGUCCCCUGCACCCCCGUGGGAGGCCGGGAUGAAGCUCCUGGCUCCUGGCUUUGAUCUGGCCCAACCCCAGCUGUUGCGACCUUCUGAGGAGUGAACCAGCGGAUGAACGAUCUCUCCCUCCCUCCAUAACUCUGACAUUUAAAUAAAUAAGUAUUUUAAAAAUUAAAA
Non-coding RNA from Oryctolagus cuniculus (rabbit), 867 nucleotides. NCBI's taxonomy places the organism in Eukaryota, Metazoa, Chordata, Mammalia, Lagomorpha, Leporidae. The record is from RefSeq and is a predicted model, not a curated record.